GCCCGCCUAGCUCAAUCGGAUAGAGCGUCAGACUCUUAAAUAGGCGAAAGCUUAUCUGAUAUCUGAAGGCUGCGAGUUCGACCCUCGCGGUGGGCU
Molecule: transfer RNA, 96 nt
Organism: Botryobasidium botryosum FD-172 SS1
Lineage: Eukaryota; Fungi; Basidiomycota; Agaricomycetes; Cantharellales; Botryobasidiaceae
Rfam family: tRNA
About the family: Transfer RNA (tRNA) molecules are approximately 80 nucleotides in length. Their secondary structure includes four short double-helical elements and three loops (D, anti-codon, and T loops). Further hydrogen bonds mediate the characteristic L-shaped molecular structure. tRNAs have two regions of fundamental functional importance: the anti-codon, which is responsible for specific mRNA codon recognition, and the 3' end, to which the tRNAs corresponding amino acid is attached (by aminoacyl-tRNA synthetases). tRNAs cope with the degeneracy of the genetic code in two manners: having more than one tRNA (with a specific anti-codon) for a particular amino acid; and 'wobble' base-pairing, i.e. permitting non-standard base-pairing at the 3rd anti-codon position.
Source: Rfam